AUACGGAGGGGGUUAGCGUUGUUCGGAAUUACUGGGCGUAAAGCGCGCGUAGGCGGACCAGUCAGUCAGGGGUGAAAUCCCGGGGCUCAACCCCGGAACUGCCUUUGAUACUGCUGGUCUUGAGUUCGAGAGAGGUGAGUGGAAUUCCGAGUGUAGAGGUGAAAUUCGUAGAUAUUCGGAGGAACACCAGUGGCGAAGGCGGCUCACUGGCUCGAUACUGACGCUGAGGUGCGAAAGCGUGGGGAGCAAACAGGAUUAGAUACCCUAGUAGUCC
Molecule: ribosomal RNA, 274 nt
Filed under: uncultured bacterium
Lineage: Bacteria
Description: partial 16S ribosomal RNA
Rfam family: Bacterial small subunit ribosomal RNA
Source: RNAcentral